RNAcentral lists this ribosomal RNA (253 nucleotides) under uncultured bacterium. Its description in RNAcentral is "partial 16S ribosomal RNA". It matches the Rfam family "Bacterial small subunit ribosomal RNA", at positions 524 to 776 of the family's 1533-position model. The record is from RNAcentral.
UACGUAGGGUGCGAGCGUUAAUCGGAAUUACUGGGCGUAAAGCGUGCGCAGGCGGUGAUGUAAGACAGAUGUGAAAUCCCCGGGCUCAACCUGGGAACUGCAUUUGUGACUGCAUCGCUGGAGUGCGGCAGAGGGGGAUGGAAUUCCGCGUGUAGCAGUGAAAUGCGUAGAUAUCAGGAGGAACACCGGUGGCGAAGGCGGCUCUCUGGACCACAACUGACGCUGAGGCGCGAAAGCUAGGGGAGCAAACAGG